CGGAAUUACUGGGCGUAAAGCGCAUGCAGGUGGUUUGUUAAGUACAGAUGUGAAAGCCCGGGGCGUCAACCUCGGAAUUGCAUUUUGAAACUGGCAGACUAGAGUACUGUAGAGGGGGUAGAAUUUCAGGUGUAGCGGUGAAAAUGCGUAGAGAUCUGAAGGAAUACCGGUGGCGAAGGCGGCCCCCUCGGACAGAUACUGACACUCAGGAUGCGAAAGCGUGGGGAGCAAACAGGAUUAGAUACCCUGGUAG
This 253-nucleotide ribosomal RNA is filed under the name uncultured bacterium. RNAcentral's name for it is "partial 16S ribosomal RNA". It matches the Rfam family "Bacterial small subunit ribosomal RNA", at positions 546 to 793 of the family's 1533-position model. The record is from RNAcentral.